Molecule: long non-coding RNA, 284 nt
Filed under: Eucalyptus grandis
Lineage: Eukaryota; Viridiplantae; Streptophyta; Magnoliopsida; Myrtales; Myrtaceae
Description: long non-coding RNA (EGRA_LNC007383)
Source: RNAcentral
GCGUCGCGGGCGGUUCGGCUCCGGUGCGGCGGCGGGACGGGCGACGGUGGUCCUCGGCAAGCUGCUGCUCUUCUUUGCUGGUUUUGGUCCGGUUCGCACAAAGAAGAACGAAGAAGAAGAAGAAGGUCACGUGGGGGAGAAGAGAGAGGAGAGAGAAGAAGAGAUAAUGGUUGAAAAGUCAAAUGGGGAAGAGAAAGCAAAGUAGGAAACGGCAAAGGAAAAGGGGAGAGAGUCGGCAUGGGGAAGGGGGCUGUCCGCACGGAAGAAAAGGGGAGAAAAGAGAG